GAUGAACGCUGGCGGCGUGCUUAACACAUGCAAGUCGAACGGGAAACAUUUUAUUGAAGCUUCGGCAGAUUUAGUUUGUUUCUAGUGGCGGACGGGUGAGUAACGCGUGGGUAACCUGCCUCACACUGGGGGAGUAACAGUCAGAAAUAGGUUGGCUAAUACCGCAUAAGCGCACAGGACCGCAUGGUCCGGUGUGAAAAACUACCGGUGGUAUAAGAUGGACCC
This 225-nucleotide ribosomal RNA is filed under the name uncultured bacterium. RNAcentral's name for it is "partial 16S ribosomal RNA". It matches the Rfam family "Bacterial small subunit ribosomal RNA", at positions 28 to 232 of the family's 1533-position model. The record is from RNAcentral.